UACGUAGGGGGCAAGCGUUGUCCGGAUUUAUUGGGCGUAAAGAGCGUGUAGGCGGCCAGGCAGGUCCGCUGUGAAAACUCGAGGCUCAACCUCGAGAGGUCGGUGGAAACCGUUUGGCUAGAGUCCGGAAGAGGAGAAUGGAAUUCCCGGUGUAGCGGUGAAAUGCGCAGAUAUCGGGAAGAACACCCGUGGCGAAGGCGGUUCUCUGGGACGGUACUGACGCUGAGACGCGAAAGCGUGGGGAGCGAACAGG
RNAcentral lists this ribosomal RNA (253 nucleotides) under uncultured bacterium. RNAcentral's name for it is "partial 16S ribosomal RNA". It matches the Rfam family "Bacterial small subunit ribosomal RNA", at positions 524 to 776 of the family's 1533-position model. The record is from RNAcentral.